RNAcentral lists this unclassified non-coding RNA (390 nucleotides) under fungal sp. RNAcentral's name for it is "partial internal transcribed spacer region". The stretch from base 1 to 46 matches the Rfam family "Eukaryotic small subunit ribosomal RNA", at positions 1786 to 1831 of the family's 1831-position model. Lineage: Eukaryota; Fungi. The record is from RNAcentral.
AAGUCGUAACAAGGUUUCCGUAGGUGAACCUGCGGAAGGAUCAUUAACACGUAUCCAAACGUUAAAACCCCCCCCGUGAACCUUCAUCCUGCUCUUGUAACCCGCGGAGUUUGCAAUCUCUGAUAAAUCAUAGCCCGGAAAGUUGUAGUGAUUCAGAGACCUCUGGCUGCGUGCGAUCAUUGGAACAGUUACAAUCAAGCGGUAGUUCUAUAGACAAUGUUUCCCCAAGCAGUCAGUGUCGGAAAGUGUCAUUGAUUGUGCAAGGAUAGCGCUUCUACGAUUCCUGUAGACCGUACACUCGGGCAGGAGCUUUGCCAAAAGGUCCCCUUUAAUGUGAAGCUCAAAGGUCAAAAAACCGAACAACUGUUAACAAUGGAUAUCUUGGUUCUC